GACGAACGCUGGCGGCGUGCCUAAUACAUGCAAGUCGAGCGAAUGAUGAGGAGCUUACUCCUCUGAUUUAGCGGCGGACGGGUGAGUAACACGUGGGCAACCUGCCCUGUAGACUGGGAUAACUUCGGGAAACCGGAGCUAAUACCGGAUAAUUCUUUUAGCCUCAUGGCUUUAAGCUAAAAGUCGCUUCAGCGUCACUACAGGAUGGGCCCGCGGUGCAUUAGCUAGUUGGUGGGGUAUCGGCCUACCAAGGCAACGAUGCAUAGCCGACCUGAGAGGGUGAUCGGCCACAUUGGGACUGAGACACGGCCCAAACUCCUACGGGAGGCAGCAGUAGGGAAUCUUCCACAAUGGACGAAAGUCUGGUGGAGCAACGCCGCGUGAGUGAUGAAGGUUUUCGGAUCGUAAAACUCUGUUGUAAGGGAAGAACAAGUGCGUUAGGUAAUGAACGCACCUUGACGGUACCUUAUUAGAAAGCCACGGCUAACUACGUGCCAGCAGCCGCCGUAA
RNAcentral lists this ribosomal RNA (510 nucleotides) under uncultured bacterium. RNAcentral's name for it is "partial 16S ribosomal RNA". It matches the Rfam family "Bacterial small subunit ribosomal RNA", at positions 28 to 523 of the family's 1533-position model. The record is from RNAcentral.